CCCAGACUCCUACGGGAGGCAGCAGUGAGGAAUAUUGGUCAAUGGGCGGAAGCCUGAACCAGCCAAGUCGCGUGAGGGAAUAAGGCCCUACGGGUCGUAAACCUCUUUUGCCGGGGAGCAAGGGCCGGGACGCGUCCCGGCCCGGAGAGUACCCGGAGAAAAAGCAUCGGCUAACUCCGUGCCAGCAGCCGCGGUAACACGGAGGAUGCGAGCGUUAUCCGGAUUUAUUGGGUUUAAAGGGUGCGUAGGUUGUUUUAUAAGUUAGCGGUGAAAUACCGAUGCUCAACAUCGGGGCUGCCGCUAAUACUGUAGGACUAGAGAUCGGAUGCAGCAGGCGGAAUGUGUAGUGUAGCGGUGAAAUGCAUAGAUAUUACACAGAACACCGAUUGCGAAGGCAGCUUGCUAGGCCGGAUCUGACACUGAGGCACGAAAGCGUGGGGAUCGAACAGGAUUAGAUACCCGAGUAU
RNAcentral lists this ribosomal RNA (467 nucleotides) under uncultured bacterium. RNAcentral describes it as "bacterial SSU rRNA". It matches the Rfam family "Bacterial small subunit ribosomal RNA", at positions 330 to 793 of the family's 1533-position model. The record is from RNAcentral.